CCUACGGGAGGCAGCAGUGGGGAAUCUUGCGCAAUGGGCGAAAGCCUGACGCAGCCAUGCCGCGUGAAUGAUGAAGGUCUUAGGAUUGUAAAAUUCUUUCACCGGGGACGAUAAUGACGGUACCCGGAGAAGAAGCCCCGGCUAACUUCGUGCCAGCAGCCGCGGUAAUACGAAGGGGGCUAGCGUUGCUCGGAAUUACUGGGCGUAAAGGGAGCGUAGGCGGAUAGUUUAGUCAGAGGUGAAAGCCCAGGGCUCAACCUUGGAAUUGCCUUUGAUACUGGCUAUCUUGAGUUUGGGAGAGGUGAGUGGAACUCCGAGUGUAGAGGUGAAAUUCGUAGAUAUUCGGAAGAACACCAGUGGCGAAGGCGACUCACUGGCCCAAUACUGACGCUGAGGCUCGAAAGCGUGGGGAGCAAACAGGAUUAGAUACCCUGGUAGUCCACGCCGUAAACGAUGAGUGCUAGUUGUCGGCAUGCAUGCAUGUCGGUGACGCGAGCUACGACAUAAGUACACGUCCGCCGUCGGGGUAGGUACGGUCGGCGAGAAGUUAAACGUUAACUAAAUUAGUUAAGUUAGUUACGGUUCGUGAGACGNGCCGACGGACGACGACGAGGGAGGAGG
RNAcentral lists this ribosomal RNA (621 nucleotides) under uncultured bacterium. Its description in RNAcentral is "bacterial SSU rRNA". The stretch from base 1 to 520 matches the Rfam family "Bacterial small subunit ribosomal RNA", at positions 338 to 873 of the family's 1533-position model. The record is from RNAcentral.